AUUGAACGCUGGCGGCAUGCUUUACACAUGCAAGUCGAGCGGCAGCGCGGGGGGCAACCCUGGCGGCGAGCGGCGAACGGGUGAGUAAUGUAUCGGAACGUACCUUUCAGUGGGGGAUAACGUAGCGAAAGUUACGCUAAUACCGCAUAUUCUGUGAGCAGGAAAGCAGGGGAUCGCAAGACCUUGCGCUGAUUGAGCGGCCGAUAUCAGAUUAGCUAGUUGGUGAGGUAAAGGCUCACCAAGGCGACGAUCUGUAGCGGGUCUGAGAGGAUGAUCCGCCACACUGGAACUGAGACACGGUCCAGACUCCUACGGGAGGCAGCAGUGGGAAUUUGGACAAUGGGGGCAACCCUGAUCCAGCCAUGCCGCGUGAGUGAAGAAGGCC
Molecule: ribosomal RNA, 385 nt
Filed under: uncultured bacterium
Lineage: Bacteria
Description: bacterial SSU rRNA
Rfam family: Bacterial small subunit ribosomal RNA
Source: RNAcentral